Molecule: long non-coding RNA, 1723 nt
Organism: Drosophila ananassae
Lineage: Eukaryota; Metazoa; Arthropoda; Insecta; Diptera; Drosophilidae
Exons: 6
Source: RefSeq, a predicted model, not a curated record
UAUAAAUUGGAAAGCUUUCAUUGGAAAGCUGAAAGUGUCAUCCCUACUGAUCCUUGGAAAGUAUUCUUACGUAAUUGUGUGCUUCUGCGAUUUAGCGAUUUAAAAACAAUAAUAAAUCUAAAUAUAGAGCUCUAUCAUCUUGGAAUAUGUGCCAAAAGCAAUAAAGUCAAAUAAUAUCAUCGAAAACAAUGGAGUUAGCAAUGGAUCUUGCGCUAAAUUGUGUAAUUAGCUGAAGCCAUUAUUGGAAGCCAUUGCAUGUUGUGUGUAUGUGUGUGUGGAGCACCCGCCGCUGGCUAUGUAAAUAAAUAUGUAAUUUUACAUGCGUAGAGAGGAGUAAUUGUGCACUAUUUUUUCGUGCAACAGAAGUUUUCCGUUUUCCGACUUACCAUUUUCGCGCUGCCAAUAAUUGAUGGCCUUCGGCGAUGCCUCGACAUUGCAAAUUAAUGUGACAUCCGUGAGGACUGGGGCGCCGACCAAUUGAUUUGGCACUUGGACGAGCGGAUGAACUGCAAAAGGAACCAAACAAAAAACGAGACCAAAAGCCAGAUGAAAAAACCAGAGAAGAAGUGGAAAAUCAAAAGGUAUUGUUUUCAGUGCACAGGACACUCCAUUUGUCUGCGCUGACUUUUCCCCGACUUCAAAAUGGAAAUGGCAACAAGGACGAGCCAGGACCAGGGCAGGAGCAGGGCGAACAAGGACGUUAAGAUGUUUAUGGCUUGUCAAGGAUUAUUGUUAUCGCCAGCUAGCCAGAUGGGAAAUUACAAUGCAUUGUUGUGCCCUUAUCCCAAAGGACAUGGGGACGAGGACGAGGACAAGGACGAAGCCAAAAGCCAGUAAACAGUAAACAGUCGAUGGUAAACCGUAAACAACAAACAACAUCAUCUCACAUUUGAAACAGAUGACAGCCCAGGAACACAUAAUUAAAGGCCUCCCCGGAGGAGAGACCUUUCCGCUUUCCGCUUUUGGUGGCUUUUUGGGGGCUUCUGGUUCUGGUUCGGAUUCGAACAAAAAAAAAAAAAAAUAACCAAAAUCGGGUAAUUUUAAUCUGAAAUCCGGUUUCGGGAAUCAGGACCCUUUUCUGAAAAUUACAGCCUAAUAUUGUAGAGACUUUGUUCACAUGAGCAUGUCGGCUUAUUUUGCUAAUCGCAGUUGUCCCCCCCCCCCCAAAAAGGGCUCAUUAAAAUUAAAAUUAUAAUUAAAAGGCAGAGUCCUGAAACUAGAAUGGAAUGAAAGGUGAUUCGGGACUUCGGGUAUUCCACAAAAUAUUCAACAGAAUCUCAGCAAGGAUCUACAAUAGAUGGACCAAGACCGAGACUAUUGAUGCAUUACGUGUGUGUGAAAAAAGCAAGGUGUACAAUUAAAAUAUAUUUGUAUUUCAAUACAGGAUAUAGUGUCAGAGAGAGAGAGAAAAAACUUAUCGAUAUAAUCGAGGACUAGGCCAGUGCGAGACCUGAGCGAGGCUAGAAGGACCAAACUGGAUCAGCAUUUUUAUUUUUAAGUGACUUUGUAUUGAAUUUCUAUGUAAACUUAUUGUAUUGUUUUGGUUUUUUUUGGAGGCUAUGUCCCAAAAGGGCGGACUCCAAAUAUAUUCUCUCCUCCGUUUGGUGUUUUCUUUCCGCGCGACUGUAUGCAGCUCAAGAAGAAAUUUUCAUAUUAAUAUUUUUUUUAGACCUGAAUUACCAUUCUGGCACCUACAGUCGCGCGCAGAAUUUUUUAAACGAAA